RNAcentral lists this microRNA precursor (93 nucleotides) under Rhodnius prolixus. Its description in RNAcentral is "microRNA miR-9 precursor". The stretch from base 9 to 84 matches the Rfam family "mir-9/mir-79 microRNA precursor family". From Rfam's summary of the family: The mature ~21nt miRNAs are processed from hairpin precursor sequences represented here. miR-9 is processed from the 5' arm of its precursor, and miR-79 from the 3' arm. The bounds of the precursors are predicted based on conservation and base pairing and are not generally known. The record is from RNAcentral. Lineage: Eukaryota; Metazoa; Arthropoda; Insecta; Hemiptera; Reduviidae.
UGCUUCUAUUCUAUUCUUCUUUGGUGAUCUAACUGUAUGAAGUUUACUGAAUUCAUAAAGCUAGGUCAGCGAAGGAGAAUGGUUUCAGAAUAA